CACAUGCAGUCGAGCGGAAGGCCCUUCGGGGUACUCGAGCGGCGAACGGGUGAGUAACACGUGAGUAACCUGCCCUAGGCUUUGGGAUAACCCUCGGAAACGGGGGCUAAUACCGGAUAUGACUGCUGGUCGCAUGACUGGUGGUGGAAAGUUUUUCGGCCUGGGAUGGACUCGCGGCCUAUCAGCUUGUUGGUGGGGUAAUGGCCUACCAAGGCGACGACGGGUAGCCGGCCUGAGAGGGCGACCGGCCACACUGGGACUGAGACACGGCCCAGACUCCUACGGGAGGCAGCAGUGGGGAAUAUUGCACAAUGGGCGGAAGCCUGAUGCAGCGACGCCGCGUGAGGGAUGACGGCCUUCGGGUUGUAAACCUCUUUCAGCAGGGACGAAGCGAGAGUGACGGUACCUGCAGAAGAAGCACCGGCCAACUACGUGCCAGCAGCCGCGGUAAGACGUAGGGUGCGAGCGUUGUCCGGAUUUAUUGGGCGUAAAGAGCUCGUAGGCGGCUUGUCGCGUCGACUGUGAAAACCCGCGGCUCAACCGCGGGCUUGCAGCCGAUACGGGCAGGCUAGAGUUCGGUAGGGGAGACUGGAAUUCCUGGUGUAGCGGUGAAAUGCGCAGAUAUCAGGAGGAACACCGGUGGCGAANGCGGGUCUCUGGGCCGAUACUGACGCUGAGGAGCGAAAGCGUGGGGAGCGACAGAUA
Molecule: ribosomal RNA, 705 nt
Filed under: Micromonospora sp. 2.2.5-14
Lineage: Bacteria; Bacillati; Actinomycetota; Actinomycetes; Micromonosporales; Micromonosporaceae
Description: bacterial SSU rRNA
Rfam family: Bacterial small subunit ribosomal RNA
Source: RNAcentral